CCACACCUCUCACUCCAUAACCAAAGUUCUUGUAAAGACGAAGACUAUAUGAUUUCUUCUGAAAUGAUACUAGCUAGAACUUAGGGUCAUCAAUCCAUUUUUUAAAAAUGAAAAUUUUUAAAGCUUCUUGUUUACUCCUUGUUUUCGUUGAUUAGUUUUUCUCAACCAUUAUGCUUAAUGAAAUAGGAAUAGGAGUAUAAAAAAUGUAAUUUAAGAAUUGAUCUUGAUGCAUCAUCCCUAUAUAAUAUAACAAAUAUUCAGAAAAAGUACUAUAGAUGCCCCCAUAUUAGGCUUUUAGCAUUUUACCCCUUAAAAAGUUGCAAAUUAAUCCCUAUACAUUAGAUCAAAAAGCAAAUAGUCCUUUUUAUUAAAAAUUUCAUUUAAUUCUACUCUUAAAAACUGG
RNAcentral lists this long non-coding RNA (403 nucleotides) under Gossypium barbadense (sea-island cotton). Its description in RNAcentral is "long non-coding RNA (GBAR_LNC020875)". Lineage: Eukaryota; Viridiplantae; Streptophyta; Magnoliopsida; Malvales; Malvaceae. The record is from RNAcentral.